Non-coding RNA from Micropterus salmoides (largemouth bass), 73 nucleotides. The record is from the annotation of a RefSeq genome assembly. Lineage: Eukaryota; Metazoa; Chordata; Actinopteri; Centrarchiformes; Centrarchidae.
CGCUAAGAAGCUAAACAGGGUGUAGCGUUAGCCUUUUAAGUAAAGAUUGGUGGUCCCCAACCACCCCUAGCGA